GUUUGAGAUCACAAAGGUUCAAAACAGGGAAUGAUUACUGCUGUAAGAGACACAGGAAAACCAGGUCACAAGUAGUCAGCUGGGAACAGGAGUCCUAAGGAGGGAUCAAUGCUGCGCAGUAACCGGCACCACGGGCCGCUGCCCAGAUACGGCUAGGGAGACUGACGUUGUCCCGUUUUGGGAACAGGGCCUCCCCUUAGGUGAGAAUCAACUGGCACAAACCUCCUCACUCUGAGAGUCCCCGGGAAGCGUCUUGCCAUCUACUCCACCAGUGUAGCGCCAUGUUCCCAACUACAGCAGCUUGGUGCCACCGGCCUAAUGCCUGAGAAGAACUGGUGCUCCCCACUGGCCCCUACAGGUUCGGCCUCCUCUGUGCAACCUCGUGGACCCUCAACUUUCUCCAGGCAUAAUGAAAGGCCUUUGCUUCCUACGCCUUGGAAAAUAACCCCCAAAUUAGUUUCUACUAAGAGGUUUCUCAGAGCUUGGAAUAGUGCCAAGGUUUCUUUAGAAAAUCUAAAAAUAAAAAUUU
Long non-coding RNA from Suricata suricatta (meerkat), 529 nucleotides. RefSeq lists it as uncharacterized. Lineage: Eukaryota; Metazoa; Chordata; Mammalia; Carnivora; Herpestidae. The transcript has 3 exons. The record is from RefSeq and is a predicted model, not a curated record.